Molecule: transfer RNA, 72 nt
Filed under: Nannocystis sp.
Lineage: Bacteria; Pseudomonadati; Myxococcota; Nannocystales; Nannocystaceae
Also listed under: 1 other name
Description: tRNA-Val
Rfam family: tRNA
About the family: Transfer RNA (tRNA) molecules are approximately 80 nucleotides in length. Their secondary structure includes four short double-helical elements and three loops (D, anti-codon, and T loops). Further hydrogen bonds mediate the characteristic L-shaped molecular structure. tRNAs have two regions of fundamental functional importance: the anti-codon, which is responsible for specific mRNA codon recognition, and the 3' end, to which the tRNAs corresponding amino acid is attached (by aminoacyl-tRNA synthetases). tRNAs cope with the degeneracy of the genetic code in two manners: having more than one tRNA (with a specific anti-codon) for a particular amino acid; and 'wobble' base-pairing, i.e. permitting non-standard base-pairing at the 3rd anti-codon position.
Source: RNAcentral
AGGACUGUAGCUCAGUGGUAGAGCACUACCUUGACACGGUAGGGGUCAGGGGUUCGAAACCCCUCAGUCCUA